This 252-nucleotide ribosomal RNA is filed under the name Staphylococcus aureus. RNAcentral's name for it is "partial 23S ribosomal RNA". It matches the Rfam family "Bacterial large subunit ribosomal RNA", at positions 2210 to 2461 of the family's 2925-position model. Lineage: Bacteria; Bacillati; Bacillota; Bacilli; Caryophanales; Staphylococcaceae. The record is from RNAcentral.
UGUGUUGGCUUUCUAACCCGCACCACUUAUCGUGGUGGGAGACAGUGUCAGGCGGGCAGUUUGACUGGGGCGGUCGCCUCCUAAAAGGUAACGGAGGCGCUCAAAGGUUCCCUCAGAAUGGUUGGAAUCAAUUCAUAGAGUGUAAAGGCAUAAGGGAGCUUGACUGCGAGACCUACAAGUCGAGCAGGGUCGAAAGACGGACUUAGUGAUCCGGUGGUUCCGCAUGGAAGGGCCAUCGCUCAACGGAUAAAA